GGUUAAACUACUAAGGGCACACGAAGGAUACCUUGGCGCCAACAGCCGAUGAAGGACGUGGAAGACCACGAUAGUUUACGGGGAGCUGUCAACAAGUGUUGAUCCGUAAAAUUCCGAAUGGGGAAACCCGGCAGAGUGUUGCUCUGUCAUCUCUAACUGAAUAAAUAGGUUAUUGAAGGUAAGCGAGCGAAUUGAAACAUCUUAGUAGCUCGAGGAACAGAAAGUAAAAACGAUUUCCGUAGUAGCGGCGAGCGAAAUGGAAUCAGCCUAAAUUGAUACUAUGUAAUAGAUUACAGUCGUUGUAGUAUCGAGGUAGUGGGUUAUGAUUUAGACAACCUGUAAAUUGUCUGCAAAGUCAAAAAAUUAAUAUUUAUCUGAAUAGAACUGGAAAGUUCAACCAUAGAGGGUGAUAGUCCCGUAUGAAUCCGAUAUUAGUCUUUGUUAUCAUAUACCCGAGUAACCCGGAACACGUGAAAUUUUGGGUGAAUCCGCGACGACCACGUCGUAAGGCUAAACACUGUUGGCGACCGAUAGUGAACAAGUACCGUGAGGGAAAGGUGAAAAGAACCCCGGAAGGGGAGUGAAAUAGAACAUGAAAUCGUGUGUCUACAAGCAGUCGAAGCACUAUUAAGAGUGCGACGGCGUGCCUGUUGAAGAAUGAGCCGGCGAGUUAUCGUAUGUAGCAAGGUUAAGCGGGUUAAACGCGGAGCCGAAGGGAAACCGAGUGCGAAUAGCGCGAUUAGUUACUUGCGAUAGACCCGAACCCGGGUGACCUAUCCAUGUCCAGGAUGAAGCGUGAGUAAAAUCACGUGGAGGUCCGAACCCACGAAUGUUGAAAAAUUCGGGGAUGAGGUGUGGAUAGCGGAGAAAUUCCAAUCGAACUCGGAGCUAGCUGGUUCUCCUCGAAAUGGUUUUAGGGCCAGCGUCAAUCCAGAGCUAUGUGGGGGUAGAGCACUAGUAAUGUGCGGGGGAUGAAAUAUCCUACCAAAUGUUGUUAAACUCCGAAUACCACAUGUGCGUUAAUUGGCAGUGAGACUACGGGAGAUAAGUUUCGUGGUCAAGAGGGAAACAGCCCAGAUCAUCAGAUAAGGUCCCCAAGUGAUAGUUAAGUGAUUAAGGAGGUGCAGCCUCCCAGACAACCAGGAAGUUGGCUUAGAAGCAGCCACCCUUCAAAGAGUGCGUAAUAGCUCACUGGUCAAGAGGCUGUGCGCCGAAAAUAUACGGGGCUCAAACUAUCCACCGAAGCUAUGAACUUUGUACUAUGUACAAUUUGGUAGAGGAGCGUUGUGUUGUAGGCUGAAGUAUGACUGUAAGGACAUAUGGACGAGACACAAGUGAGAAUGUCGGCAUAAGUAGCGAAAAUAUUGGUGAGAAUCCAAUACACCGAAAGUCUAAGGUUUCCCACGGAAGGUUCGUCCGCGUGGGGUUAGUCGGGUCCUAAGGCGAGGCUGAAAGGCGUAGUCGAUGGAUAACAGGUUGAUAUUCCUGUACCGGUGUUAAAUGACAAAGACAAUAAGGAGGGACGCAGGAGGCUAUAUCAGCUGUCGAAAGGAAGAGACAGUUUAAGCAAGUAGGUAGGCUUUAUAGGAAAAUCCGUUUAGCUAAUACUGAGAAGUGAUGACGAGGGGUUACGACCCUGAAGUGAUAGAUGCCAUGUUGCCAGGAAAAUCUUCGUAUUGAAUUUAACAGCGCCCGUACCGUAAACCGACACAGGUGGACAGGUAGAGAAUACUAAGGUGAGCGAGCUAACUCUCGUUAAGGAACUCGGCAAAAUGAUCUCGUAACUUCGGAAGAAGAGAUGCCGUAUUAGAGUGAAGGGAGAAACACCCGGAGCUCGAGACGGUCGCAGCGGAGAGUCCCAAGCAACUGUUUAACAAAAACACAGGUCUGUGCGAAAUCGUAAGAUGAAGUAUACGGGCUGACACCUGCCCAGUGCCGGAAGGUUAAUAGGAGAUGUCAUCGCAAGAGAAGCAUUGAAUUGAAGCCCCGGUGAACGGCGGCCGUAACUAUAACGGUCCUAAGGUAGCGAAAUUCCUUGUCAGGUAAGUUCUGACCCGCACGAAAGGUGUAAUGAUUUGGGAACUGUCUCAACGAGAGGCUCGGCGAAAUUGGAUUAGCUGUGAAGAUACGGCUUAAUCAUACCAGGACAGAAAGACCCCAUGGAGCUUUACUGUAGCUUGUCAUUGAAUUUGGGUUUUGCAUGUGCAGGAUAGGUGGGAGACUUUGAAGUGUAGACGUCAGUCUGCAUGGAGUCGUCGGUGAGAUACCACUCUUGCAAGAUCUAGAUUCUAACCUCAAUUCCGUAAUCCGGAUGAGGAACAGUGGCUGGUAGGCAGUUUGACUGGGGCGGUCGCCUCCUAAAGAGUAACGGAGGCGUCCAAAGGUUCCCUCAGGCUGGAUGGAAAUCAGCCAGAGAGUGCAAAGGCAUAAGGGAGCUUAACUGUGAGACCGACAAGUCGAACAGGUACGAAAGUAGGGCUUAGUGAUCCGACGGUUGUGCGUGGAAGCGCCGUCGCUCAACGGAUAAAAGUUACCCUGGGGAUAACAGGCUGAUCUCCCCCAAGAGUCCACAUCGACGGGGAGGUUUGGCACCUCGAUGUCGGCUCGUCGCAACCUGGGGCGGUAGUACGUCCCAAGGGUUGGG
This 2644-nucleotide ribosomal RNA is filed under the name Sphingobacteriales bacterium. Its description in RNAcentral is "partial 23S ribosomal RNA". It matches the Rfam family "Bacterial large subunit ribosomal RNA", at positions 1 to 2576 of the family's 2925-position model. The record is from RNAcentral. Lineage: Bacteria; Pseudomonadati; Bacteroidota; Sphingobacteriia; Sphingobacteriales.